This 618-nucleotide ribosomal RNA is filed under the name Hohenbuehelia tylospora. RNAcentral's name for it is "eukaryotic LSU rRNA". It matches the Rfam family "Eukaryotic large subunit ribosomal RNA", at positions 1 to 628 of the family's 3401-position model. The record is from RNAcentral. Lineage: Eukaryota; Fungi; Basidiomycota; Agaricomycetes; Agaricales; Pleurotaceae.
CAAAUCAGGUAGGACUACCCGCUGAACUUAAGCAUAUCAAUAAGCGGAGGAAAAGAAACUAACAAGGAUUCCCCUAGUAACUGCGAGUGAAGCGGGAAAAGCUCAAAUUUGUAAUCUGGCGGUCUUGGGCCGUCCGAAUUGUAAACUAGAGAAGCGUUAUCCGCGCUGGACCGUGUACAAGUCCCCUGGAAUGGGGCGUCAUAGAGGGUGAGAAUCCCGUCUUUGACACGGACUACCAGGGCUUUGUGAUGCGCUCUCAAAGAGUCGAGUUGUUUGGGAAUGCAGCUCAAAAUGGGUGGUAAAUUCCAUCUAAAGCUAAAUAUUGGCGAGAGACCGAUAGCGAACAAGUACCGUGAGGGAAAGAUGAAAAGAACUUUGGAAAGAGAGUUAAACAGUACGUGAAAUUGCUGAAAGGGAAACGCUUGAAGUCAGUCGCGUUGGCUAGGGAUCAGCCUUACCUUGGUGAGGUGUACUUCCUUGUUGACGGGUCAGCAUCAGUUUUGGCUGCUGGAUAAAGGCUAAGGGAAUGUGGCACCUUCGGGUGUGUUAUAGCCCUUGGUCAGAUACAGUGGCUGGGACUGAGGAACUCAGCACGCGCAAGUUGUGCUUAGGAUGCUG